CUCCGAUUAUAACUCCAUGAGCACAUUUACUUUCCCUCUCUCUUUCUCUCGCGGUUUCUCUCUUGAAUGUUAUUUUCCUUUAUUUUCCUGGAAAAUUCAGGCCUAAGGCCUGAGCGCAGACAACUGUGUCAGAGGUGAACCAGAUAACCAUUCAUUGCGUACAGAUACAGAGAAAGAAAGAUGGAAGGAGAGAGAGUGUGGCAUUGAGAUUUGCGACGAGCGAGAGAGAGAGAGAGAAGAUCUCGAGCAGAUCAGGGUGAUUUAAAGCAGAGGCGGCGAGAAUUUAUUGAUAUGAUAUGAGAGCUUUUUAGAGUGAGAGAACGUCUUUCUGUAACUCCAAUCUCACCCUUCUCCACUACCCUUCUCUUUCUUUCCUCCUUUCAUCCCAUUUGGCCAUUUCUCUCUGAAGCCGUAUCAUAUUUCCAUACUCUGACACCAUUGCUCUUUCCCUCCAAACAAGGCUGAUUUUAUUUUUUCCCAAGUGUAAUUAUUACUUCUCUCUAAUUUUUUCUUGCAUCUACUU
Molecule: unclassified non-coding RNA, 523 nt
Filed under: Hevea brasiliensis (rubber tree)
Lineage: Eukaryota; Viridiplantae; Streptophyta; Magnoliopsida; Malpighiales; Euphorbiaceae
Source: RNAcentral